This 239-nucleotide ribosomal RNA is filed under the name uncultured prokaryote. RNAcentral's name for it is "partial 16S ribosomal RNA". It matches the Rfam family "Bacterial small subunit ribosomal RNA", at positions 524 to 762 of the family's 1533-position model. The record is from RNAcentral.
UACAGAGGGGGCAAGCGUUGUUCGGAAUUACUGGGCGUAAAGGGCGCGUAGGCGGCCGAGCAAGUCUGGCGUGAAAUGUACCGGUUCAACCGGGGCGCUGUGUCAGAAACUGCACGGCUUGAGGUCGAGGGAGGAAGGUGGAAUUCCUGGUGUAGCGGUGAAAUGCGUAGAGAUGUGGAGGAACACCGAUGGCGAAGGCAGCCUCCUGGGCCAGCGCUGACGCUCAUGCACGAAAGCGU